Molecule: ribosomal RNA, 554 nt
Filed under: uncultured bacterium
Lineage: Bacteria
Description: partial 16S ribosomal RNA
Rfam family: Bacterial small subunit ribosomal RNA
Source: RNAcentral
GGGGAAUAUUGGACAAUGGGGGGAACCCUGAUCCAGCCAUGCCGCGUGUGUGAAGAAGGCCUUAUGGUUGUAAAGCACUUUAAGCGAGGAGGAGGCUCUUUUGGUUAAUACCCAAGAUGAGUGGACGUUACUCGCAGAAUAAGCACCGGCUAACUCUGUGCCAGCAGCCGCGGUAAUACAGAGGGUGCGAGCGUUAAUCGGAUUUACUGGGCGUAAAGCGUGCGUAGGCGGCUUUUUAAGUCGGAUGUGAAAUCCCCGAGCUUAACUUGGGAAUUGCAUUCGAUACUGGGAAGCUAGAGUAUGGGAGAGGAUGGUAGAAUUCCAGGUGUAGCGGUGAAAUGCGUAGAGAUCUGGAGGAAUACCGAUGGCGAAGGCAGCCAUCUGGCCUAAUACUGACGCUGAGGUACGAAAGCAUGGGGAGCAAACAGGAUUAGAUACCCUGGUAGUCCAUGCCGUAAACGAUGUCUACUAGCCGUUGGGGUCUUUGAGACUUUAGUGGCGCAGCUAACGCGAUAAGUAGACCGCCUGGGGAGUACGGUCGCAAGACUAAAAGC